Molecule: ribosomal RNA, 476 nt
Filed under: uncultured bacterium
Lineage: Bacteria
Description: SSU rRNA
Rfam family: Bacterial small subunit ribosomal RNA
Source: RNAcentral
AGGAUGAACGCUGGCGGCGUGCCUAACACAUGCAAGUCGAACGUCCUGUCUCGCAAGAGGCAGGGAGUGGCGGACGGGUGAGUACCACGUGGGUCAUCUACCGUGAGGUGAGGAAUACCGGCGAGAAAUCGCCGACAAGACCGCAUAGCCUCGGUGCAAGCCGAGGAAAGCUCUCUCGAGAGAGGGAGCGCCACACGAGGAGCCUGCGCCCGAUUAGCUAGCUGGUGGAGUAACGGUUCACCAGGGCGACGAUCGGUAGCUGGUCUGAGAGGACGAUCAGCCACACUGGGAUUGAGAACGGCCCAGACUCCUACGGGGGGCAGCAGUGAGGAAUUUUCGUCAAUGGGGGCAACCCUGAACGAGCAACGCCGCGUGCAGGAAGAAGGUUUUCGGAUCGUAAACUGCUUUUCGUCGGGAAGAGAACGGACGGUACCCGAGGAAUCAGCCCCGGCUAACUACGUGCCAGCAGCCGCGGU